GACGAACGCUGGCGGCGUGCUUAACACAUGCCAGUCGAACGCUGAAGACCUGGCUUUUGUUGGGUUGGAUGAGUGGCGAACGGGUGAGUAACACGUGAGUAACCUGCCCUCUUCUUUGGGAUAACGCCCGGAAACGGGUGCUAAUACUGGAUAUUCACUGAUCUUCGCAUGGGGGUUGGUGGAAAGGUUUGUUCUGGUGGGGGAUGGGCUCGCGGCCUAUCAGCUUGUUGGUGGGGUGAUGGCCUACCAAGGCUUUGACGGGUAGCCGGCCUGAGAGGGUGACCGGUCACAUUGGGACUGAGAUACGGCCCAGACUCCUACGGGAGGCAGCAGUGGGGAAUAUUGCACAAUGGGCGAAAGCCUGAUGCAGCGACGCCGCGUGAGGGAUGGAGGCCUUCGGGUUGUAAACCUCUUUCGCUCAUGGUCAAGCCGCAACUGUGGGUUGUGGUGAGGGUAGUGGGUAAAGAAGCGCCGGCUAACUACGUG
This 486-nucleotide ribosomal RNA is filed under the name uncultured bacterium. RNAcentral describes it as "partial 16S ribosomal RNA". It matches the Rfam family "Bacterial small subunit ribosomal RNA", at positions 28 to 507 of the family's 1533-position model. The record is from RNAcentral.